This 529-nucleotide ribosomal RNA is filed under the name uncultured bacterium. Its description in RNAcentral is "bacterial SSU rRNA". It matches the Rfam family "Bacterial small subunit ribosomal RNA", at positions 540 to 1069 of the family's 1533-position model. The record is from RNAcentral.
GUUGUCCGGAUUUAUUGGGCGUAAAGCGAGCGCAGGCGGUUAGAUAAGUCUGAAGUUAAAGGCUGUGGCUUAACCAUAGUACGCUUUGGAAACUGUUUAACUUGAGUGCAAGAGGGGAGAGUGGAAUUCCAUGUGUAGCGGUGAAAUGCGUAGAUAUAUGGAGGAACACCGGUGGCGAAAGCGGCUCUCUGGCUUGUAACUGACGCUGAGGCUCGAAAGCGUGGGGAGCAAACAGGAUUAGAUACCCUGGUAGUCCACGCCCUAAACGAUGUCGAUUAGCUGUUGGGCAGCUUGACUGCUUAGUAGCGUAGCUAACGCGUGAAAUCGACCGCCUGGGGAGUACGGUCGCAAGAUUAAAACUCAAAGGAAUUGACGGGGACCCGCACAAGCGGUGGAUGAUGUGGAUUAAUUCGAUGCAACGCGAAGAACCUUACCUGGUCUUGACAUGUACGGAACCCUCCAGAGACGGAGGGGUGCCUUCGGGAACCGUAACACAGGUGCUGCAUGGCUGUCGUCAGCUCGUGUCGUG